GAAGUUGGGGAAGAAGGAAGGGAAAAAAGGCUGGGUGGGGUGGGGUCAGUAGGGUUUCAAUUUUUUUUUUCUUUUAAAAUCCUAUUUAUUUUAGUUAAUGUAAUAUUGAAUAUUUCAAUUUUUAAAAUCCUAUAUUUUCUUUAUGUAUUUUUUUAUUAUUUAAAUUAUGUAAUAUUUUUUUAUUGUAAUGUUUGAAUUUUAUUUUUAAUAAAAAUUUGAAAAUUUAAAAUUAAAGUGUAGAAUUGGGGAUUUUAUUUUAAAAUUGGACUUGAAGGAACACAUUUGAUCUCGUUUUGGUCCGAUUGAGCCCUAGAAAAUUAUUGUAAUUUUUUUUAUUAUUAUUGUAUUUAAAUUAUGUCUUUAAAUUAUUGUAAUGUAGAAU
This 382-nucleotide long non-coding RNA is filed under the name Salvia miltiorrhiza (redroot sage). RNAcentral's name for it is "long non-coding RNA (SMIL_LNC012815)". The record is from RNAcentral. Lineage: Eukaryota; Viridiplantae; Streptophyta; Magnoliopsida; Lamiales; Lamiaceae.